UCUCUUCCUGGCAUUGAAGUAUUAAACAGUAUAUUGUCUACUGUCUAUGGAGAGGGCCCUGUGGCCAGGAGCUGGGUAUGUCCUCUAAAAGCUGAAAGUGUCUCCAGCCAAUCCCCAGUCAGAACCUCAGUCAAAUAGCCACAAGCAAAUGAAUUCUACCAACCAGCAGCAUGAGAAAGGAAGUAGAUGCUUCCUCAUUCAAACCUCCAGAUGAGGACACAGCAUGGCUGAUCAUCUAACUGCAGUGUGACUCUAAGGGACAAGUUUAAGAAUCCAAUGUGAAGGAAAGAGGACAACUCAACAGCACAGUUGAUGUUGAAGAACGUGAGCUGCAAUUGUGCUCACUCAGAGUUAAUGCAGAGGUGACCGGGAAAGGAAGGAUCAUAUGUGCCUUCUUGCCAUUGCCCUGGCACAGACUGACCUUAAACAUUUAAACCUUCUGAGCUAUCAGAGCUGAGACCUGGAAACUGUAAACUCAGCAAUGGGCCACCUUUAGGAGCAGCAGAGAACACCUGGACAUGUGACAGAGAGGGACGGCUGAGCUCAAGUACAAAAGCAUUCAAGCAACCAUCCUAAAACAUCUCUUCAUCAGAAUGAAUGAAAAUGUUCACCAAAUUGUCAACAGAAACAAUUCUAAUGGAGAAAAUUAUAAACUUACCCGCAUCAUCUGA
This is a non-coding RNA of Ictidomys tridecemlineatus (thirteen-lined ground squirrel), 671 nucleotides long. NCBI's taxonomy places the organism in Eukaryota, Metazoa, Chordata, Mammalia, Rodentia, Sciuridae. The record is from RefSeq and is a predicted model, not a curated record.